AGCUUUGUGUAGAAGACAGUAUUGUAGCCAGUGAGGUUUAUCUGAGGCAUGAUUAUUGCUAAUUGCAUUACUCUCGAACUGUGUCUAUUAUUUUGUUUAUUCUUCAAUG
RNAcentral lists this small nuclear RNA (109 nucleotides) under Cavia porcellus (domestic guinea pig). Its description in RNAcentral is "U4 spliceosomal RNA". It matches the Rfam family "U4 spliceosomal RNA". Rfam says of the family: U4 small nuclear RNA (U4 snRNA) is a component of the major U2-dependent spliceosome. The structure of U4 snRNA from yeast and human has been reported. Lineage: Eukaryota; Metazoa; Chordata; Mammalia; Rodentia; Caviidae. The record is from Rfam by way of RNAcentral.